GUGUCAGCCGCCGCGGUAAUACAGAGGGUGCGAGCGUUGUCCGGAAUCACUGGGCGUAAAGGGCGCGUAGGCGGCCCGAUAAGUAGGGGGUGAAAUCUUGCGGCUCAACCGCAAGGCUGCCUUCUAGACUGUCGGGCUUGAGCACAGUAGAGGCAGGUGGAAUUCCCGGUGUAGCGGUGGAAUGCGUAGAGAUCGGGAAGAACAUCGGUGGCGAAGGCGGCCUGCUGGGCUGUUGCUGACGCUGAGGCGCGACAGCGUGGGGAGCAAACAGGAUUAGAAACCCCAGUAGUCC
This 292-nucleotide ribosomal RNA is filed under the name uncultured bacterium. RNAcentral describes it as "partial 16S ribosomal RNA". It matches the Rfam family "Bacterial small subunit ribosomal RNA", at positions 505 to 796 of the family's 1533-position model. The record is from RNAcentral.